GAUGAAGAACGUAGCGAAAUGCGAUAAGUAAUGUGAAUUGCAGAAUUCAGUGAAUCAUCGAAUCUUUGAACGCAUCUUGCGCUCCUUGGUAUUCUUAGGAGCAUGCCUGUUUGAGUGUCAUUAAAUUCUCAACCGCACUGACUUUGAAUUGGUGUGGCUUGGAUUUGGGGGGAAAAUUGUUGUGGGCUUUUUUGUAUAGUCUGCUCCCCUGAAAUUGAUUAGCGGUACCUUUGUGGAACUGUCUACAGGUGUGAUAAUUAUCUACAUCCUAGACAUCUGCUGGAAUGCUGCUUUCUAAACCUUACUUGUAUUGACAAUCUUGACCUCAAAUCAGGUAGGACUACCCGCUGAACUUAAGCAUAUCAAUAAGCGGAGGA
Molecule: unclassified non-coding RNA, 377 nt
Filed under: soil metagenome
Description: partial contains 5.8S ribosomal RNA, internal transcribed spacer 2, and large subunit ribosomal RNA
Rfam family: 5.8S ribosomal RNA (bases 1-120)
Source: RNAcentral